AGCAGGUGGGAUUUAUGAAGCUACUGAAGUCCGGAUCCUGUCAGCAGGAGCCGGAUGGAGGGAAUGCCAAAAUGCUGACUGCACUCGGAGAAGCUCUCAUCGAUAUAUCUUCGGACAGGGGUUCGACUCCCCUCGCCUCCACCA
RNAcentral lists this transfer-messenger RNA (144 nucleotides) under Clostridiaceae bacterium. Its description in RNAcentral is "partial transfer-messenger RNA". It matches the Rfam family "transfer-messenger RNA", at positions 226 to 374 of the family's 374-position model. Rfam says of the family: Bacterial tmRNA, also known as 10Sa RNA or SsrA, is named for its dual tRNA and mRNA-like properties. Its role is to liberate the mRNA from a stalled ribosome. Lineage: Bacteria; Bacillati; Bacillota; Clostridia; Eubacteriales; Clostridiaceae. The record is from RNAcentral.